Telopea speciosissima is the source of this 318-nucleotide long non-coding RNA. RefSeq lists it as uncharacterized. The transcript is spliced from 2 exons. The record is from RefSeq and is a predicted model, not a curated record. NCBI's taxonomy places the organism in Eukaryota, Viridiplantae, Streptophyta, Magnoliopsida, Proteales, Proteaceae.
AAAUUUUCUUCCGUUCGAUUCUGGAUCUUCUACGAUAAACUGAAUUUUAUCAAUGAUUGAUCGAUCGAGUCAAGUUAUUCGGUUGCUUUAGUUCGAAGAAAUUCUGAUAAAUUUCAGUUAUCUGGUCUAACUGAUUCCCUGAACUCCCACAAGUGUGUAUAUACAUGGCUAUAGGUUGUUCUAGCGUUUCGAUCACGAUUCCCGUGAUCGGCUCUUCUGAUGGUGGUCGGUUUAUUCUACAAUUUAUUCGUCUUAGAGUUUCUUAGCAGUGAUUGCUGACUCUGUAAUGCAAUCUAACGACCAGAUUGAGAAGAAGAA